CUGGUUUGUUACUGUUAUAAUUGAACAUAACUUGCCUGACAAACAAAUUCAGCAGUGUCACUUUUGAAUUUUGUACAGGAUGCAUUAAGUUGACUGUUGAAUUGGAAAGCAAAAAUAAAAUUUUUAGUAGCAGUAAAUUUUAUUGAAAGAUAUUAUGUGAUGGUAAUGUGCAAUAUAUAUUUCUUACAUUUAGCUUUUGGGGUUACCUGGUUCCAAUUCGUGCAUUUUACAGUGGAUGUGAAAAAUAACAAAUCCUACUUGUUCACUAAUUUUGCUCAAAAAGUAGUAAAUUUUGUGGAAAGAUAAUCGAUAUUGAUAAUGGGGAAUAUAUAUUUUUGGCUUUAGGUUUUGAGAUGAUAAGUUCCAUUUUAAUGCAUUUUACAGUGGAAGAAGAAGCGUAUGAGAAGGUUGAAGAGGAAGCGCCGAAAGAUGAGACAAAGAUCCAAGUAGAGGAUGGAAAUCGAUAGUGAGAUUGUUCUUUUUUCAGAACCAGCUUCUUUUCUGGCUGACUAGCAAUCAUGAUGAACUGAAGGAAGUUCUGUAUAGGGAGCUUUCUUGUUGUCUAUUCUGUUCCUAUCUUGCCUUCGAGCGUCUUGUUUUCUAUGAGUUUUGAGAAAAUUUAGGUUUUAGAGUAAUGACUAGCUUCUGCUACUUUUAUGUUGUCAUUUGAGUGAAAGACUCAUGUUAAAACCUAUUUCAUCCAUUCUGCGCAACUAAGGAUUGAUCUAUGAAUGGAUGCAGUGUUUUUAGCCAUAUAUCUCUAUUGAUGUCUUCUUUCAUUUAUUGCUUUUGGCUCAGCAAUCGGCAUUUGGUGAACAAGUUUUUGGUUAGUUGGGUGCAUCAAAUUCCUUUUGCCUUGUUACUUUUGAUGGUUUUCAUGUUGUGUUUGCUUGAACUCAAACUGCAAGUAUACUACAUUCUUUUCCUCUGUGGGAUAUAUUUUUCUUGGAUCUUGAUACAUGAGGGUAAUUGAAGAAGCUGUCAUGGAUUCAAAGAUGUUUAAAUCUAUG
This 1010-nucleotide long non-coding RNA is filed under the name Olea europaea subsp. europaea. Lineage: Eukaryota; Viridiplantae; Streptophyta; Magnoliopsida; Lamiales; Oleaceae. The record is from RNAcentral.